CGGGUUGUAAACUCCUGUCGAGGGGGAGGAAGGCGCAAGCUUGACCUAUCCCUGGAGGAAGCACGGGCUAAGUUCGUGCCAGCAGCCGCGGUAAGACGAACCGUGCGAACGUUAUUCGGAAUCACUGGGCUUAAAGCGCGUGUAGGCGGAUGGGGACGUCGGUUGCUGAAAUCCCCCGGCUCAACCGGGGAACGGGCACCGAAACGCCCCGUCUGGAGGGACGUAGGGGGACCUGGAACUUCCGGUGGAGCGGUGAAAUGCGUUGAGAUCGGAAGGAACGCCCGUGGCGAAAGCGAGGUCCUGGACGUUUUCUGACGCUGAGACGCGAAAGCUAGGGUAGCGAACGGGAUUAGAUACCCCGGUAGUCCUAGCUGUAAACGAUGGGCACUGGGUAGAGGGCUCGCCGAUGGGCUCUCUGCCGUAGGGAAACCGUGAAGUGCCCCGCCUGGGGAGUAUGGUCGCAAG
This 465-nucleotide ribosomal RNA is filed under the name uncultured bacterium. RNAcentral describes it as "bacterial SSU rRNA". It matches the Rfam family "Bacterial small subunit ribosomal RNA", at positions 419 to 892 of the family's 1533-position model. The record is from RNAcentral.